Molecule: ribosomal RNA, 548 nt
Filed under: uncultured bacterium
Lineage: Bacteria
Description: bacterial SSU rRNA
Rfam family: Bacterial small subunit ribosomal RNA
Source: RNAcentral
GCGAAGAACCUUACCUACCCUUGACAUCCAGAGGAUUUUCCAGAGAUGGAUUAGUGCCUUCGGGAACUCUGAGACAGGUGCUGCAUGGCUGUCGUCAGCUCGUGUUGUGAAAUGUUGGGUUAAGUCCCGUAACGAGCGCAACCCCUAUCCUUAUUUGCCAGCGAUUCGGUCGGGAACUCUAAGGAGACUGCCGGUGACAAACCGGAGGAAGGUGGGGAUGACGUCAAGUCAUCAUGGCCCUUACGGGUAGGGCUACACACGUGCUACAAUGGGGAGUACAGAGGGACGCAAAGCGGCGACGUGAAGCCAAUCCCAAAAAGCUCUCCUCAGUCCGGAUUGGAGUCUGCAACUCGACUUCAUGAAGUCGGAAUCGCUAGUAAUCGCGAAUCAGAAUGUCGCGGUGAAUACGUUCCCGGGCCUUGUACACACCGCCCGUCACACCAUGGGAGUGGAUUGCACCAGAAGUGGCUAGUUUAACCUUCGGGGGAACGGUUACCACGGUGUGGUUCAUGACUGGGGUGAAGUCGUAACAAGGUAGGCGUAGCGAG